CCUACGGGAGGCAGCAGUGGGGAAUCUUGCGCAAUGGGCGAAAGCCUGACGCAGCAACGCCGCGUGGGGGAUGAAGGCUCUCGGGUUGUAAACCCCUUUCAGCAGGGACGAAUCAAGACGGUACCUGCAGAAGAAGCCCCGGCUAACUACGUGCCAGCAGCCGCGGUAAU
RNAcentral lists this ribosomal RNA (170 nucleotides) under uncultured bacterium. RNAcentral's name for it is "partial 16S ribosomal RNA". It matches the Rfam family "Bacterial small subunit ribosomal RNA", at positions 338 to 524 of the family's 1533-position model. The record is from RNAcentral.